This 304-nucleotide unclassified non-coding RNA is filed under the name Pseudomonas sp. UC 17F4. RNAcentral's name for it is "Pseudomonas sRNA P20". The stretch from base 104 to 304 matches the Rfam family "PhrS". The record is from RNAcentral. Lineage: Bacteria; Pseudomonadati; Pseudomonadota; Gammaproteobacteria; Pseudomonadales; Pseudomonadaceae.
AAACUUGAUGCAGGUCAAGCCUGCACCCGCCUUGCGCGCCCGGUUCCGGGCGCUAUUGACCUCGGUCAAUUUCCUCCCCCGAACCAUUCGCUACCUUAAGCCCAUCGGACAGGUUCAGGCGAAUGGAGGCCGACAUGUUCUUCGAUAAUGUGGUUAUCGCUGGAGUGAUUACGGUCGGUCUGAUGCUGAUGUUCUUCGUCGGAUUCGGAAUAUUCAUCUGGAAAGACUCGAACAAGCGCAAAGAGCGCUGAUCCUUUCCAGUCACGAGCACGCAAGGCAUUUAGGGCGACUUCGGUCGCCCAUU